AUUGGGGGAAUAACGAACGCGUUGGUGCGCUUGGUUCGACAAUCCGACGAGUGUACGCGAAGUUAUUGACGAAACAAUCUGUUUUGGUACAGAUAGCCGCAGCACGCGGGAUAAGCCUCCAAAAAUCAUGAAAAUGGAUCGGGAGCAUCGCGAUGUCGGGGAAUAAACUCCCGAACAGACGGAUCGCGAAUUGGUGGCCGUUCGGGUGGUCGCGCAAGAGUUCGGGCCAAACCGGGUCACGGGUGCCGCGGGAGGCCGAUUGCAAGUGACUACAAGCAAUCGGAGAGCAAUUUAAGGUGGGUUGUGUUUACCGAAGCGACUAGGUCGCCUCUAUGUCUAAGAGUGAUGGUUUCAUGUUGAUGCAUGUAAUGGUAGCUAAUGAUAGAAUGUAUAAAUGCAUGAAAAGGAUAUGAUGUGGGCCACCCAACAAUGCAUAUGGUCAUAGUGCGAGAAUGCUAAGAAUGCAUAUGGAUAUGAAAUAAGAAUGCUAAAGAGAAAGUAUGAUAAGCAUGUUGUGGAGAUCCUAAUGUAAAGAUGUUAAGUAUAUGACAUGUGCAUAUGGACAUAUAUAUAUAUAUAUACACAUAGAUCGAGUGGCAUUGAACCUAGUGUUAACAAACAUAGGUUGAACAAGAAUGACAACGAACCUAGCGUCAAGGACAUAGGUUGAACAAGAGUGAUAGUGAACCUAGUGUCAAUGAACAUAGGUUAACGAGAAAAGCAGUAAACCUAAUGUUAGAGAACAUAGGUUGUGAAAUAAAGGUAAGGAACCUAGAGUUAAGUGAAACUAGGUAGAAAAGAAUAAUGGAUCUAGUGUUAACAACCUAGACUAUGAGUAUGAAAGCAACGAACCUAAAGUAUUAACUUAGGUUGAGUAAAGGCUUGGACCUAGAUAGGUCGAUACUAUAGGGUGAGACCAACCCUAGAGAUGUGAAUGUAGAUUCCGGAAUCCCUAGGAAUGAAGGCUGCUAGUGCAGCGGAUAAGGCUUGCGACCGAGCGCAAGUGAAUCAUAACUGUGGGUAUGUUGGUUCUCCUCGCCCGACAGUGAUUCAACGGGUAUGUUGGUUCUCCUCGCCCGGUAAAAGAGAUGGCUAAUGAGAAUCAUAACUGUGGGUAUGUUGGUUCUCCUCGCCCGACAGUGAUUCAACGGGUAUGUUGGUUCUCCUCGCCCCGUAUGCCAUGAGCUAGAGCUCGAGAGACUUGUGGUCCGGAGUUUGAUGGCAUUCCUCACUCCGUGGCAGACCUACAGUCGAGAGGAUUUAAGGCUGAGGUGCAUGUGAUAGUUCCUUCACCUCGAGCCUGACAGAGCGCGGACUAUCCGCAGUUGAUUGACUCAAGACCGAGUCGAGUGGCAUAGUUGGCUAAGGUAAUGUAACCAUAAGAAAAAAUGGCAAAUGAGACUAAUAUGGCUAAGGUGUGACUACCCUUAGUAAAGAAUAAAGAAUAAAGAAUAAAGAGUAAAGACUAGAGAAUAAAGAACGGCUAAUGUUAGAGAAUGGCACAUGCUAAAGAAUAGCUAAUAAUGUAAAGAAUGAUUAACAAUAAAGAUUGGCUAAGAGUAAAGAAUGGUUAAGAAUAAAGAGUAGAAUCAAUAAUCUACUUUCAUGAGUUGCAUGAUUUGCAUAUUGCAUAUUCGUGAGGCAUGUUAUCUGUUAGUUGCAUAAUUAUAUGAUGAUAUAUAUAUCUGUAGAUGUUUUUGGACUAACAUGAUUGCAGUGCCUCCUUGGACCUAUCAGUCGAGCUUUUCACUUGGGUGGCUGUACCCACUGACGACUAUGGACAAUAGUCUCACCCCCGUGUUGUUGUUUUUGGGGGUACAGGUUCACACGCGAGCGGCGCGGCGGCGCGAGGAAAGGGCGUAGCUCCGUAGUUAGCGCCCUACCACAGAGACCAGAUAGCAGCACCCUAAGUCGGCUUCUUAGGGGUAUAAGAAAAGAAAAGAAAAGAAUCGAUGUUGUAAUAUUAUGUUUAGAAAUCGAUUGUAUAUUUGGAAGUUGAGAAUCAAUGUAAUGAAAAAUGCGAUGUAAAAUGAUGAGAUGAAUGAUUGUAAUAAUAUAGGAUGUGUUAUGUUGUUUGAUACCUUCCUUAUGCAAUCGUUGUUGAAAAUUGUUCCUGUUUGGAACCUCUUGUAAUUGUAUUGAUUGCGACGCCUUGAAUGUACAGGGGAGACUCUGUCCGCAUGCAGGGGAAACCCUGUCCGUUCGGCGGUCUGUUGGCGUGCCCGAAUCCGACCAAAGAGGCGGGCUCGGGGCGUGACACUAGUAUCACUCAAUCCAUCUCUAG
RNAcentral lists this long non-coding RNA (2284 nucleotides) under Ananas comosus (pineapple). RNAcentral's name for it is "long non-coding RNA (ACOM_LNC034081)". The record is from RNAcentral. Lineage: Eukaryota; Viridiplantae; Streptophyta; Magnoliopsida; Poales; Bromeliaceae.